GCCAAAAAAUGUCAAAAUUUAAGUACAAAGGGCACAGGGUAAUGGCGAGAGCCCCCUGAUCUAAUAUUAUGCAGCCAUUUAGUCAAUACAAAUGUGACUAAAAGGAAUUUGGGUACACUUCCUGUCUUUCAUGUUUACGGAGCGCCCAUGAGUGCCAGUAGGAUAUUCAAAAUAUAUAGCGAAAACCUACCGAGGCCGUCUAAAUGAGGUUGACACCCCCCUGGUAUAUCAAUGUCCAUAAAAUUCAACCAAAUCAUUGACUCUGUAUAUAUAAAGGUUUUAUAGAUGGAUUUUCCAGAAUAACGUCAUCUUCAAUAUCUACGGAGGGCUUACAUUGUCACUUUUCAGCCCA
This 352-nucleotide long non-coding RNA is filed under the name Mytilus galloprovincialis (Mediterranean mussel). The record is from RNAcentral. Lineage: Eukaryota; Metazoa; Mollusca; Bivalvia; Mytilida; Mytilidae.